AAUAAAGAUAAAGAUAAAUUUUUGAGCAGUUAUCCAAGCCCAAAUAAAACAUGAAUAUUAGGGUUUCCUUUUUCUUCUAUAAAUUAGUGCUUGUUUCUAAGGUUUAUAUCUCUUCUUGUGGCUGGCUCGGUGGCUAGAACAAGUUACUCCUUUUUCUUUUUCUUUUUUUGAUAAUUUUUUUAUUUAAACUCAAUUAAAGAAAAGAAAAACAAAUUUCUGGAGAUUGAUCGCAGCUUUCCUCUUAGGGUUUAUCGGUGACAAGGAUUUGGCUUCGCCUGGCUAGAAUAGAAGAUCCAUUGAGUUACGUAGAAGGAAUCUAUGUUAUGAAGUGCAUCAGUUUUCAAUGACGAGAGUUUUGGCGGUGCCUUUAAACUGGAGUCAAAACGUUGCCGUUUCUUCUGUGAAAGAUCAUUCAUUAAGCUUUCGUUCAGUGGUUUUUUAUUUCGUAUGUUAAUUUACCAAUUUCCUUUUUUCUUUUUUGAUAUAAAGAUCUGAUUAUUUUGCUGGUGGGUUUUUGAAUUGCUGAUAGUAAGUUUUAAUUUUUAACACAAAAUUAUCAGUUUUUAACAUUGAAUUAUUGCGAAUUUAAUAAUUUAGAUUAAAUCGGUAACACCACUUGUAUUCUUUAAUACAAUAUUUCGUAUUGGAUCUAGCUUUUAAAAUUUUAUACACUAAUGUAAAUUCAUUAAUUUACAUUUAGCAUUCCACGUAUGAAGCUAGUAAUGUAUUAUUGAAAAUUACGUCAAAAAAAAAUACUAUGUGAAAAGCUAGUUACGUAGAAAGAAGAUCGGUAUUUGUAGCAAGUCUGUAAUCCAAAUUUUUUUAUUUUUCUUUUUUGAGAAAUCAACAUGCAUAUAAUAAUAAUAAUAAUAAAGAAACCACCACUUGAAAUAAAUAAAUAAAAAACCUAAAACCCAUCCUCCCUGAGAAGAAAAACGGUAAAAAGAAAAACAUAGACAUCAUAAAAUGACUUACGAAUUCUUAGAAAACCCUACACCGCUUGCCUGCAACCCACCCCCCCAACCCAACCCCGCCUUGGAUUAUUCAUUUAUAUCCCCUUGAAGAUGGUCCCAUGGUACUGUAAAAUCUAUAAUAAAAUUCUAAAGCCAGUAAAAAACCACCAAGCAUUCAUUAUAUUUUACAAGACCACAAACACAUCCCCAAGGGGAUUCAUAGAAAAUGUUAGCAACCGUUUGAUAAAAAGUUCUUCACUGUUUCGGGUAUCCUGAACCAUCUUCUGAAAGAAGGCCGUUCGAGUGAGGAAUUGGAUUGGCUUCUUUGAUCAAAUCACCAUUUGUUGUUGCUAUAUCUUUCUUUUCAU
Molecule: long non-coding RNA, 1321 nt
Organism: Gossypium arboreum
Lineage: Eukaryota; Viridiplantae; Streptophyta; Magnoliopsida; Malvales; Malvaceae
Exons: 2
Source: RefSeq, a predicted model, not a curated record